UGGGGGGUGUGAGAAGGCAGGGGGAAGCAAAAGAAUGAGAUCACAGCUUAUUAUUAGGAAAUGUAUGCAACAGGAAAAAAAUGUUAUGGAAAAUACAUUGUACCCUGUAAAGACGUGACAGGAGAAAUACAGUAAAAUAUACUUGUGCACUUCUUUUAAUCUACGUUCAGAAGAAAUAUUCUAACAAUUGCGGACACAACACCUCAGCUUGUUUUUGUGAAGCAACCUGGACUAUGCUAUGGCUAACAGUUGCAGAACAAGCAGAUUAAAGGACUUGCUCAGGAUCACACAGCCCCUUCUCUUCUGAGCAGCAGCGAGCAGCUGCCUCUCCCACACACAAGUAGCCCUUCACAAACACCCAAG
Molecule: long non-coding RNA, 363 nt
Organism: Polypterus senegalus (gray bichir)
Lineage: Eukaryota; Metazoa; Chordata; Cladistia; Polypteriformes; Polypteridae
Exons: 3
Source: RefSeq, a predicted model, not a curated record